This is a long non-coding RNA of Leptidea sinapis, 1615 nucleotides long. RefSeq lists it as uncharacterized. The record is from RefSeq and is a predicted model, not a curated record. The transcript is spliced from 5 exons. Lineage: Eukaryota; Metazoa; Arthropoda; Insecta; Lepidoptera; Pieridae.
GAAAAACUCACUAAUAUCUGUGCGAUAUCGCUGUUAGGUGUCAAAACACACAUAAUGUGACAAUAGUUUAAUAAGAUUUGGUGUAGGCUUUAGAUGUUUUUAAGCGCGAAAUAAUUCAAUUUGUUUUUGAUUGGCGUUUUAUACUUACAAAAAACUAGUGCUAAUAUAAAAAUCGUGCAGCACUGAACAAUUAAAUUCUUUAUUAGACUUCCUACAUGACCAUAAAGACUUGGCAAGAUGCCUACUAAGGACUGCUGAUGAGAGGGCCCGAGCUAAGAGGUUGUGGGAGGAAAUAACACAGCUGCUCAAUUCUUUGGGCGGCAGCAUUAAAACAAUGCAGCAGUGGCAGAAGGUGUGGACAGACAAAACACUUCACAAAAAAAAUGGAGCAGCUGUGCGAAGGAUGCAUACAGGCACAGGUGGUGGACCAUUAUCCGCUUCCCUGGCACAAUGGGAACUAAGAGUUUUAGAAAUAAUGGGAGAAGGAUUUGGGGGGCCACAAACCACAGCUCGUGUGUCAGCCUUUCCCACAAUUAAUAUUGAGGAAGAAGUGGCUCAGUACGUACUGGAACUGGAUGUCAUGACCCAACCUGAAAUCCCAUUUUCUAAUGAGAGUUGGGAUUUAAUUGGUACAUCAGACCCUCUUGGUGGCAUCUCUCGAUGUGCAUCUAAAAUGGAAAUUUCUACUGAAAAUGCACUUUUUCCUGAGACCUUCGUGGCCAGGCCAAGAUCAGCCUCAACAGCCUGCAUCAUCCCGUAUUAAUCUUGAGUACCUUUAUAAUGAAAAUGUCCAUCUCGGCGUGUAACCAGCCAACGACUAGGGCAAGUAGGAAAAAUAAGCGACCGUUUAAUCCAGUUGGAACAGAAAAAAAUAUACUACUAAGUACUCUCAAUACAAGACUCCGGAAUUGAAAAAGCCAUAAUAGAAUUAAUUAAAUUAAAACAGAAUAGUACAAACAGUUAGCCAUUGAUGUUAUAUUGUUUUUUAAAUAGUGUUUAUUUUGAUUUCUAAUAUUAAGUACACAUUAAAAUGGUUAUAUGUAUUUAGUUUAAUACCUUAUUAGUGGUAGAAUCCGCCACUGGAAUUAAGACUGAUUUUGACUUUUGUUUAUAGAUAUUAUUUACUUACAUAUAUAUUUUGUUACAAAUCUUCACCGCAACUUAGCAUUUAAAUUUGACCUUAGCUGUGAUUUAAAAAAUAUAUUUUAAGUAAGUACCUUAGUUAUAGUUCAUAUGUUGAUUGUUAUUACUUCUUAAAUGUAUAAUUAAUAGAUAUUGUUAUUCUGAACAGACAGAAAGGUGUUUUAUUUGUUUUUAAUAUUAAAGAAUUUUGUAACUUAUAACUUAUCUUUAAAUUUAUUAUAUAAUUGUGAUUUUAAAUAUUAAUUAAAACUCAUUGUGAGAUUUAUUACAUUGUUUUUCAUGAGAAUGAUUAUUGGUUCCUAUAAUAUUACUAUUUACUAGCCUUUGGACCUCCACAUGUUACCAAGUGUAUACUCAAACCUAACCUUAUGUUAAUGUACUUCUGUAAGAAUUAUAUGAUGUGUUAUGUAACCAAGGAUAAACAACAGUUUAUACAAGACCAAAUAAAAAUUCGAUUUUAUUUAAUUAUAAA